RNAcentral lists this ribosomal RNA (639 nucleotides) under uncultured bacterium. RNAcentral describes it as "bacterial SSU rRNA". It matches the Rfam family "Bacterial small subunit ribosomal RNA", at positions 97 to 728 of the family's 1533-position model. The record is from RNAcentral.
GGCGGACGGGUGUGUAAUGCUUAGGAAUCUGCCUAGUAGUGGGGGAUAGCCCGGGGAAACCCGGAUUAAUACCGCAUACGUCCUACGGGGAAAGCAGGGGCAUCUUCGGACCUUGCGCUAUUAGAUGAGCCUAAGUCGGAUUAGCUAGUUGGUGAGGUUAAGGCUUACCAAGGCGACGAUACGUAGCUGGUCUGAGAGGAUGAUCAGCCACAUCGGGACUGAGACACGGCCCGAACUCCUACGGGCAGGCAGCAGUGGGGAUUAUUGGACAAUGGGGGCACCCUGAUCCAGCCAUGCCGCGUGUGUGAAGAAGGCGUUUCGGGUUGUAAAGCACUUUCMGUAAGGAGGAAAACCUUAAGGUUAAUACCCUUGAGCCUUGACGUUACUUACAGAAAAAACACCGGCUACACCGUGCCAGCAGCCGCGGUAAUACGGUGGGUGCAAGCGUUAAUCGGAAUUACUGGGCGUAUAGCGCGCGUAGGUGGUUUGUUAAGCGAGAUGUGAAAGCCCCGGGCUUAACCUGGGUACGGCAUUUCCAACUGGCAGGCUAAGAUGUGGUAAGACGGUAGUGGAAUUUCCUGUGUAACGGUGAAAUGCGUAUAUAUAAAUGGAAGGAACACCAGUGGCGAAGGCGGCUAC